RNAcentral lists this unclassified non-coding RNA (21 nucleotides) under Dictyostelium discoideum. Lineage: Eukaryota; Evosea; Eumycetozoa; Dictyosteliales; Dictyosteliaceae. The record is from RNAcentral.
CGGUCAAAUACAGAUGGAUCU